Drosophila grimshawi is the source of this 228-nucleotide long non-coding RNA. RefSeq lists it as uncharacterized. The transcript has 2 exons. Lineage: Eukaryota; Metazoa; Arthropoda; Insecta; Diptera; Drosophilidae. The record is from RefSeq and is a predicted model, not a curated record.
UGUGCCAGAGCCUUGGGAUGAACGCCUUGGAUAGUUUUGCCGUGUUGUACUGUUUGGCAGUCAGACAGAAGGUAGCGCAGAGGCCAUAACAAGUGACAGGGCAGACAUCCCUAUCAGCUUCUUCACGCGUGCGCUAUGCUGACGUCGAGCAAUAGAAAGCCAGCACCACUAGAAUUUGUUUAAGUAGUUGGUACUGCCAAAGCUCAAUAAAGUUGAAGUUGCAAAAGA